AUACGGAGGACGCGAGCGUUAUCCGGAUUCAUUGGGUUUAAAGGGUGCGCAGGCGGCCGUGCAAGUCAGCGGUGAAAGCCCGGGGCUCAACCCCGGAAGUGCCGUUGAUACUGCAUGGCUGGAAUGCGGUCGAGGCGGGCGGAACGUGGCGUGUAGCGGUGAAAUGCGUAGAUAUGCCACAGAACACCGAUAGCGGAGGCAGCUCGCCGGGCCUGCAUUGACGCUCGGGCACGAAAGCGUGGGGAUCGAACAGGAUUAGAUCCCCUGGUAGUCCACGCCGUAAACGAUGGGCGCUCGUCGUCGGCGGCAGACAGUCGGCGGCCAAGCGAAAGCGAUAAGCGCCCCACCUGGGGAGUACGGUCGCAAGGCUGAAACUCAAAUGAAUUGACGGGG
This 393-nucleotide ribosomal RNA is filed under the name uncultured bacterium. RNAcentral describes it as "partial 16S ribosomal RNA". It matches the Rfam family "Bacterial small subunit ribosomal RNA", at positions 523 to 918 of the family's 1533-position model. The record is from RNAcentral.